AUUGAACGCUGGCGGCAUGCUUUACACAUGCAAGUCGAACGGUAACAGGCCUUCGGGCGCUGACGAGUGGCGAACGGGUGAGUAAUGCAUCGGAACGUGCCCAGAGGUGGGGGAUAACGCAGCGAAAGCUGUGCUAAUACCGCAUAUUAUCUGGGGAUGAAAGCGGGGGACUAAGCAGCAAUGUUUGGCCUCGCGCCUUUGGAGCGGCCGAUGUCAGAUUAGGUAGUUGGUGGGGUAAAGGCCUACCAAGCCGACGAUCAGUAGCUGGUCUGAGAGGACGAUCAGCCACACUGGGACUGAGACACGGCCCAGACUCCUACGGGAGGCAGCAGUGGGAAUUUUGGACAAUGGGGGAAACCCUGAUCCAGCAAUGCCGCGUGAGUGAAGAAGG
Molecule: ribosomal RNA, 391 nt
Filed under: uncultured bacterium
Lineage: Bacteria
Description: bacterial SSU rRNA
Rfam family: Bacterial small subunit ribosomal RNA
Source: RNAcentral